This 625-nucleotide long non-coding RNA is filed under the name Olea europaea subsp. europaea. Lineage: Eukaryota; Viridiplantae; Streptophyta; Magnoliopsida; Lamiales; Oleaceae. The record is from RNAcentral.
CNCUUCAUCUUCUCCAUAAAUCAUACCAAAAUAUUCACAUUGUUCUACUCCCAUCUGAUUGUAGCCCAUAACCUAGUAGCAGAAUGCUAGCACCUCAAACAAUUUGUAGCCGAACGAAGGCAAUGCGGUGAUAAUAUCCGAAGCACCCGGACAGAGAGGUGCACAAAGCUUAUGCUAUUGUGGUCACUUGGGAUGUGUGAGGACUUAAUGGACGGGAACAAAUCUCGGAUAGAGGUUUAUUGGAUGUCGUUUCUAUGGGAAGCCUGAAGCGUGCAAUUUCUUUGAUUGGGUCGAUGAGUCAUCGGAUGUUGGGUACACGCUUGUAAUAAACGGGCUACUAUGUUCAAAGAACAGACUCGAAGAAGAGAAUAGGAAAAAUUGAAAAAUUCGAAAGAUGUACAAGGUUGCAUUUUGGGCAGUCCUUAUAUUUAUUUUUAUUAGUUUGUUUUUCUAAUAGUGUGUAUUAGUGUAAUGUAGUAUGUAUGGGAAUGGAGUUGAAGUGAAUUGCAGGCAGUUUGGUGUAAUGUAGUGAAUUUCAACCUCGAUUAUUUGCUCUGAAUUUUAGUAAUUGCACAACGUAGUUGCAUGUGUUGUUAAUUCCAUUUGUUGGUGACUACAAUUUGUU